GAUGAACGCUGGCGGCGUGCCUAAUACAUGCAAGUCGAACGAACGGACGAGAAGUUUGCUUCUCUGAUGUUAGCGGCGGACGGGUGAGUAACACGUGGAUAACCUACCUAUAAGACUGGGAUAACUUCGGGACACCGGAGCUAAUACCGGAUAAUAUUUUGAACCGCAUGGUUCAACAGUGAAAGACGGUCUUGCUGUCACUUAUAGAUGGAUCCGCGCUGCAUUAGCUAGUUGGUAAGGUAACGGUUUACCAAGGCAACGAUGCAUAGCCGACCUGAGAGGGUGAUCGGCCACGCCGGAACUGAGACAGGGACCAGACCCCUACGCGAGGGAGCAGUAGGGGAUCUGCCGCAAGGGGCGAAAGCCUGACGGAGCAACGGCGCGUGAGUGAGGAAGGUCUCGGGAUCGGAAAUCUCUGUUACUAGGGAAGAACAGAUGUGUAAGUAACUGUGCACAUCGUGACGGUACCUAAACAGAAAGCCACGGCUAACUACGUG
RNAcentral lists this ribosomal RNA (497 nucleotides) under uncultured bacterium. RNAcentral's name for it is "partial 16S ribosomal RNA". It matches the Rfam family "Bacterial small subunit ribosomal RNA", at positions 28 to 507 of the family's 1533-position model. The record is from RNAcentral.